Gorilla gorilla gorilla (western lowland gorilla) is the source of this 384-nucleotide long non-coding RNA. RefSeq lists it as uncharacterized. The record is from RefSeq and is a predicted model, not a curated record. The transcript has 2 exons. Lineage: Eukaryota; Metazoa; Chordata; Mammalia; Primates; Hominidae.
CGCUGCCUGAGGCGUCAACAUGCCUGCCUGCAAUGUGUUUGUGCACAUGCGUGCACACGCGUAUGUGGGGCCUAGGGGAUGCCAAAUUCCAGGGGCCAGAAAGAGCUUGGGAUAAAAUGAAACUUCAAGGGGACGGCUUUGACCUGGGCUGAGUCUACCUGUGCCAUCCAACUGGAGUCUCAAGUCCUGAGGCAGGACGUCCAGAUGCCCCAGUGCAGGGCCCUCCUGAUCAACACCUGCUCCCCUCUACUCAUUAGCAACCUCACCCACCCUACUCUCAAAGCACACUUGGCUCUCGUAUCCAGGAGCUCUGCAUCUGUAGAUUCAGCAACAGCAGAUGGAAAAUAUUCAGAAAAUAAAUUGGACGGUUAUGUUUGUAUUGAA